CUUACACCACACACUGACAACAUGCUGGGGACCCUCUGCACUCUCAUCACUGCUCUAACAUAUGUUGAUGCAGCGAUCGUGCUGACCCAGACGCCUGCUGUCCACACAGUUUCUGCAGGACAAGAGGUUGUUCUCAGCUGCAACAUUCAGAGAUAUGACGGCAAUAAUGUGUACUGGUAUAAACAGGUUCCUGGUGGGGUUCCUCAGUAUGUUCUGAGGUUUUACCACGGCAGCAGUUCACCAAGCUUUGGAACAGGAUUCUCUUCAGACCGAUUUCACUCUAAAUCCUCAUCAAACAUAGAUUACCAGUUCAUUAUAAAGCGAGCAGAGGCAGGAGAUUCUGCUCAGUAUUUCUGUAGCACAUGGGAUAGCUCUGCUUCUGAACAUGUAUCACAGUGAUUUACACUGUGACAAAAACCUCCUCAUUAAACACUUCCUCUUUCUGAAUCUCUGACACGUUAGAAUAGAAUGUAAGACCACAUGUGAAUGAAAACAGCAUUGCA
Molecule: non-coding RNA, 503 nt
Organism: Solea solea (common sole)
Lineage: Eukaryota; Metazoa; Chordata; Actinopteri; Pleuronectiformes; Soleidae
Source: the annotation of a RefSeq genome assembly